Molecule: long non-coding RNA, 576 nt
Organism: Myotis davidii
Lineage: Eukaryota; Metazoa; Chordata; Mammalia; Chiroptera; Vespertilionidae
Exons: 2
Source: RefSeq, a predicted model, not a curated record
UCCAGGAGCUCCAAGAAGCACACCCCUUUCCACCUCUGGCGCUCCAAGAAGAAGCAGCAGCCUCCGCCGUCGGACUGUGGGGUGUUCGUUCCGCACCCGCCGUCUGAUUGUGGGGUGUUCGUUCCGCACCCGCCCCCGGCGCCCCUCGGCGAGGCCAGGAGACAACCAGUCUUGGGUCUCGGUGGUAACUGUGGAAGACGCGGGGACACAUCCUCUCCUUCAUCAUCACCUGCUUCCUUCCCACAAGAGAAGCUCUUCAGGGACUGAUGCGUCAACUUCCUCGCUCACUGCUGGGUUCCUGGCUGCCUGUCUCUGCCUGGUUAUGAUUUCACAAAUUUACAAAGCCAGUGAUGUUAAACAAAGAGGAGUGCCAAUUUUUACCUUCAUGCCACUCAAUAGCUGAUCAACAGACAGCAAAAGUGACAGCCAGUUAGUUGGGCUUGGGCAUGUUUUCUGAGGAAAAUGGAUGUGGCCUGGGGGAAUGGAGGAGGAGGAUUCAGCCAGAUAAUCUCCAGUCUCUCCUGUAAAUUAGCAUAAACUUGUCAAGAAUAAACAAGAUAAAGGGUAUGAACAUUG